AGAAAGACACGUUGGAUCGAUGGAUCAACUCGGAAUUCGUUGUAAUCAAUGACUCGUGAGAUACCUCGAUUUGUAACCGCGGCUCCAGGGACGUAACAAUUUAUCUCAUCGGAAGAUGUCACACGCAAUUGCUAGUGACAGAAACUAUUUCCCGCCACAAAGUCAAGGAGCUCCUUGAAAGGGGAUCCAGGCAGGGGAUCCUAAUGGCAGAAAACGGACCGUAGGAAACCCAUCCAUAAUGGAUCAUCAACGUGGCCUGAUGAAACUCCGGCUAAUUGGAAACAGGACAUGGGAAACGCCUGGCAUGGAAUGCGAUGGGGCAUGUAUCUGGUGAAUGGAUCAGGCCGAAGAUAUAUCCUCUAUCCUGUAGAUGGCAUGGCCUUGCUGGCUGGGACCUGGGGCAGUCAACAGCUUACUGGCCAAAGUUAGGUAUAAAUCCUCACCUCUGGUAUUACGAAAGGUGAGAUAUGAUGCCAUUUUCUUCCAUUUUUCAUCUGUUUUUUGUAAAGGUUUCAAUGCACAGUACCAACCUGCACAGUACCAACCAACUCUUCUGCCCAACUGUAGUGCAUGACUUAAUACAGUGGUCGAAAUACUUAAAUAAAAAAUAUAUAUCAGUGCUCUGCAGUAUUGCAGAAGAGUCAAAAUUUUGUUCUGCAAUUUGGAA
Molecule: long non-coding RNA, 667 nt
Organism: Branchiostoma belcheri (Belcher's lancelet)
Lineage: Eukaryota; Metazoa; Chordata; Leptocardii; Amphioxiformes; Branchiostomatidae
Exons: 3
Source: RefSeq, a predicted model, not a curated record